UUUUUCUCUUUCUUACAGUAUUGUUUAUAUGUUAAAACUCUCUGUGGGGAGUAUUGAUAUUUUGUUACUCCACAACAGGUUUUCUUCUGGACAGGGGAGGAUCCAGGGAAAGGGAGCCAAACUCCAGUUACCCUUCCCAGUGAAUUCUGGCUACUGCGUAAAGGAAUUUAAGAGCAUGCGGAGCGUGCAAGCGGACGGUCAGGCAGGGUGUGGAAGAGCGUCCUCGCGUUCUCCAGGCUCCCACAAGUGAAAACUAAGAUCUCUGGAAAUGGCCAAUGGUCCCAUGGACAAGAGGCAUCAGGUAGAUAAUCAGCCUUGCACCUUGCACAGCUGGGCUGUGGUCGGCAAGCACCUGAGGACCCUUGAGGGCAGGGGGAAAUGGGCCUGGAGGAAAUAGAGUUGGCCCCAUGGACUCAAGGAGGGUUUGACAGAGUUUCUGGUCAAGUUUUCUUUUUUCUUUUUUUAAGAUUUUAUUUAUCUGAGAGAGAGGGUGAGGAAGUGACAGAGAGCGAGAGAGCAAGCAUGACCAGGGGAAGAGGGAGAAGACUCCACACUGAAUAGGAGGCCUGAUGCCGGUGUGGAUGCUGGGCUGGAUGCAAGGCUCAAUCCCAGGGCCCUGGGAUCAUGACCUGAGCUAAAUUCAGAUGCUUAACCGACUGAGCCACCCAGACGCC
This 674-nucleotide long non-coding RNA is filed under the name Mustela putorius furo (domestic ferret). Its description in RNAcentral is "lncRNA (ENSMPUG00000029013.1)". The record is from RNAcentral. Lineage: Eukaryota; Metazoa; Chordata; Mammalia; Carnivora; Mustelidae.